GGCCAGACUCCUACGGGAGGCAGCAGUGAGGAAUAUUGGUCAAUGGGCGGGAGCCUGAACCAGCCAAGCCGCGUGAAGGAAGAAGGCGCCAGGCGUCGUAAACUUCUUUUGUCGGGGAACAAAGGGCGCCACGCGUGGCGUUGUGAGUGUACCCGAAGAAAAAGCAUCGGCUAACUCCGUGCCAGCAGCCGCGGUAAUACGGAGGAUGCGAGCGUUAUCCGGAUUUACUGGGUGUAAAGGGCGUGCAGCCGGGCUGACAAGUCAGAUGUGAAAUCCCGCGGCUCAACCGCGGAACUGCAUUUGAAACUGUCAGUCUUGAGUACCGGAGAGGUCAUCGGAAUUCCUUGUGUAGCGGUGAAAUGCGUAGAUAUAAGGAAGAACACCAGUGGCGAAGGCGGAUGACUGGACGGCAACUGACGGUGAGGCGCGAAAGCGUGGGGAGCAAACAGGAUUAGAUACCCUCGUAG
Molecule: ribosomal RNA, 467 nt
Filed under: uncultured bacterium
Lineage: Bacteria
Description: bacterial SSU rRNA
Rfam family: Bacterial small subunit ribosomal RNA
Source: RNAcentral